UUCAUAAGCAAGCUAGACGUCAUGGAGUCAAAACAAAAUAUUUUAUCUAUUGGAACGGAGACUGAAGAACCAUUGGGAAAAUCAUCAAUAUUAAAAGUUUAUAAACGUAAUUUCUACUUUAAAUUUACAAAACGUAUCCAAAAACUGCUUUUGGGUGGAUCUCCUCCUCUGAAAGAAAUACCCGAUGAAGGCUCAGUGGAAAGAUUUUGCGCAGCAAGCAUUCGGAAAAAUGGGACACAAUAUUACGAGUUUAGGCCAGACGACUAUUCAAAGGGAAUUGUUUUAUCUGGCCCAGCAUUUGAUACCAAAGGGCUUAUAUUAAUUGUCAAGGAGAUGAUCAGCAAAGAACACUGGAUAAAUGAAAGUGUAAUUAAGUACCAUAACAAUUCAACUGCUGAAAUACAAGAACUAGUUUGGGACGCUAUAGUAAAGGAGGACCAAAGAAUAUAUAAUUACCUGCGAUAUUUGCAAGAAAAUCAUUAAAAAAUUCCAGCUAACAUUAUAUCCAUUUUAUACAGAGAGAAAGUUGAGUAAGAAGUGAAGUAUCAAGUCCACCCUAACUUGAAAACCUUCGUGAUUUGCCAUUCACAAAAGUUUAUAAACAAAAAGGCACCAUCACUAAUUGUGUGCUUUUAUGUGAGCUUUGGCUGGAAAUAUUUCAUUAGUAAAUAAAUAAAGGAGAGCACCAGUUGAUUUUACAAUUCAAUCAAACCCAACAUGGCGUCAAAAUCUAAAGUUUUGACUAUAGGAACAGAUACCAGUGAAAUCGAACCUAAAGUACAGAUCCCAAAGAAGAGCAUAUACUUUCUUAAAGACGAUUUUAAAGAUCACUUGCAAAAAAUUCUUUUAAAUGGAGCUAAUCCUAUAGAGCCCGAGCCUAAUCAAUGCGCUAUCGAAAGAAUAGCUGCAAAUGAAGUUAAAAAGAAAGGGCAAUACUAUUACGAGUUUGCACCGGAGAUUAGAACGGGUAGUUGGAUUAUGAACGGACCUACCUUUGAACCCAAGGGAGUUCUAAGACGAAUUAAGGAUCGAAUAAGCAAGGACCACUGGACUACUGAUAACGUGGCCAAGUAUAGCAAAGAUUCCAGAUUAUUUAUACACCAAACCCUUGGCGCUGCGCUUCGUGAAGAACAUUUUGAAAUUUAUCAAUAUAUAUGUUAUCUGAUGGAAAAUCCUAAUAAAAAAUGAUAUAGUAAUGUUUUUUAAAUAUACAAAA
This is a long non-coding RNA of Drosophila subpulchrella, 1216 nucleotides long. RefSeq lists it as uncharacterized. The transcript is spliced from 2 exons. NCBI's taxonomy places the organism in Eukaryota, Metazoa, Arthropoda, Insecta, Diptera, Drosophilidae. The record is from RefSeq and is a predicted model, not a curated record.